This 76-nucleotide transfer RNA is filed under the name Bacteroidales bacterium. RNAcentral's name for it is "tRNA-His". It matches the Rfam family "tRNA". Rfam says of the family: Transfer RNA (tRNA) molecules are approximately 80 nucleotides in length. RNAcentral also lists the same sequence under 2 other names. Lineage: Bacteria; Pseudomonadati; Bacteroidota; Bacteroidia; Bacteroidales. The record is from RNAcentral.
GGUGGUUGUAGCUCAGUUGGUUAGAGCGCUGGAUUGUGGUCCCAGAGGUCGUGGGUUCAAGCCCCAUCUACCACCC